AAAACCCUCGCCACUCAUGAAGAACUGAGGCAAAAGGAUCACAGAUGCUGCUCGGGGCCAGCCCUAUACUCCCUCCAGUGCCUGGUCUCCGGUGGACCCGCGGGGCUCUGCAGUUCUCUGGCGGCCGCGCCUUGUAAGCGCUAAGCCGGGAGGAGGGCGCAGGCAGGGCGCACAGCUCUGAGCGCGACCCUACCCGGCUCGGGCCCGCAGCAACCCCGACUGUCCGAGAGCCUCUCCCCAAGCAAGGCUCUGCGCCGCCCUCUGAGCCCACCUCCUGGCCACAACGCUGCCUGCGCUUCUCCAGCCCAGGCCGGAAGCCCUAUGCUGCCUCCCGAAGCCGGACUUUCUGGAAGCCCAUCUUCGUAUGCUCACCAGCCCACCCUCCUACGCUGGUCAGAGUGAGAUUGCUAACCUCAAGACCCCAUUCAAUGCCAGCUUUCAACUACUGCUGAAGACCAAUGUAGGUCCUGGAAUAGAAGAACUGCAGAGUAUCCCUAAGGUCUCCUCUUCAUCUGGCAUGUGUGUUCACAGAAGGUACAGUGUGCGAGAACACACUUAGGAAAUUUUAGGAACGCUAACCACAGUACUGGAGGAAUAAAGAUGUGUCGAAGGAAUGGAUGGAAUGCAUGAACACAUACACCUUGUUGUCCAGAUGCAGACAAAAGCUACCAUGUCCGCUUGGAGUGACGCCCAGACACGCACAGAGAUGUACAGGAAGCCAAGGAGAGUGGGAUCCACCAGAGUACAGUACAAGUACAGAGUACAGUGCAAGAUGCCCAGUGGCCCUGGAGAAAAACCUUCGUUGACUCUUCUGUAUGGAAAGUUUCUGAAGAAAGGGCCAAGGAAUGAUCUGCCCCAGAGGCUGCCUUUAGGCUCCCAUACCUGCUCUGUUUGGAGACACCCAGAAGAGGCCAGUACAGCAAAGACUCUUUUUGGUUUGGUUAUUUCUGUUGCUUGUUGUCUUUUUUUCAUCCUUUGCCUGGGAAAUUGUGCUCUGGAAUAGGGCUUGAGUAGACAGCACAGGCCUCCAGUAGAUAACAAGAGAUUCUCAAUCUCCAAUGAGGACAUUCCGUUCUAAGGAAGCUUCCAGAUAGGGGAAAGCCCUGUUUUGUCCCCCUUUUCUCCUCUGAGAUCUGAAAAAAUAGAAAGAAAAAAAAAGAAAAACAAAACAAAUAUAAAAACUAUAGCCCAAUCCCAUGUACAUCAAAUAAAUCCACAAGGAAUAUGCUAGAUCAAGCUAAAUUAUGUAUUUAACUCAUUUUCUUUUGUGAGAUACUGAGAAGUCUUCAACUUCCUCUAUUCCAGGCAGGGAUCGAGGACCUGGCCUGGCAGAGGUUCCACCACCAGGGUUUCCCACAGUGGUUCUGGGACUAGGCGUAAGGUGUCCUGACUUGUUUUCUCUGUCACCUCUUCUGGGGAACUGGGGAACUGUCCCAGACAAUGGCUGCCCCAGUUCCCUCUAGAAGAGACAGCCCCCACCCCCAGAACCCGUUGCCCUCCAACCUCACCUCAUUUUCUCUUGAGCUCAUUCUCCGAGCUCUUAAAGUAGUAGGUGUGAGUCUUGGACCAUUUCUUUAAAAGAAACAACUAAGGAAAGGGAGGGAGGGGAGGAGGGAGGAGGGGAGCGGGAAGGAGAGCUACCUCCUAGACUAACGCGUCCAGGAACCACUCUCUAAGGAGCAAAAGAGAGCCUGUGUUGUAAAGUAGAAGUGAUCCCCCGACAUUGCUGCAGGGCGCCUUGCAACAGAUGUAACUGUCCACUGAAGAGACAGAGGGUGGGCAUGGGGAAGAUUUUUUUUCCUCCCUUUUGUGAACAGCUCUUACACUUUUCCAAGACACAUUGAGUUCCUGGACAUUUUUGUGAAUUUGUUCUUGAUUGUGUUUUGAACAAUAAACUGUGAAAAUCAACUUCAAGCCCACACAAUCAGAAUCUUUCUUGGGAGGGCAGGUUCUUUCAGCGCUGUUUUUCUCCAGGUCGCUUUUAUCUUACCCCCAAUGGGAGUCACCUGCUGAUGCUCCUCGGGAGGAGACUGUAACUGAAAGACGGAAGUGAAUGCAGACACAGCAUCCUCUGAGCCAAACCGUUGCUUUGGUUCCUUCUAGCUUAGGAUGCCGAACACUGGCUGGCUUUGAACACCCUCUACUUCGCUAAGAAGUUUAGAGCCUUUCUCACAACAAACCACAGCGUUUUAGAACUGGAAAUGUUUCUUCUGAUUUUCCAGUCUUAGGACAAUUUUCGAACUCUAACUUAAAAAAAAAUUUGUUUAUGGGGGUUUAGCUAGAACACUUGUAGCAUUCGCUUCUCAAGGAAAGAUCAACUGUUUUCUCAUAACCCCAACUGCUCCACACACUUCAUAGGAUAUAAUGUAUUUUCUUUACUUAUCCUUGUGCCUUCUGCCCAGGACAUAGAACUAGGGGCAAAACUUUGGAGGUCUAUGACCUCUUGAUAGCACCUGUAAUUGUUAGGCUUUUGUUCUUGUGCCUUGUAAAUCUCUCAUGUACGUCUAUGAAAAUAUGCAUUGCAUGGGUGUGAUCCUAUCAAGUUGUCCACACUUUCUCAACAACCACUGAUGAGUGAAACCAUUUCUAUUGCCCAGGGCAAAGGGCUAAUCGCCUUGUGGGUCUAGAGUUGUCAUAGGAUAAUAUCCGGUGUGUGUGUGAUAUGACAGUUAUUACUUUCAAGAAUAAAUUAAAAUAACCAGAUACCCCUUUAAUACUUUCCUCAACAGCGUCAAUGCUCUAGAGAUGGGACCUCGCCUUCCAAGGUGUCUUCACUAUCACAGGGCCCGGGCUCUCUGCCUCAGCCCAACCCUGGGCUUGCGCUCAGAGAGGAGGUAUUCCGACGGAAAAAAAUCCCAUACAUUUUUAACUACAGUGAUUACUAAAUUAAUAGCAGGCACCAAGACAGAUGUCAAAACGUCUUGAAAAUGUUUAUCUGUGAAUAAUUGAGAAGGUAGUGGGACGCAUUAUCUGAUUGUGUAAUGAAAUAUGUAUGAGGAACAGCUGUUUGCAGCAGCCCCUUCCCCUUGCCGCCUUAGCCAGGGCCCUUCUCUCGCAAGCUUUCUUCUACUUUCUUCCACCUUUUUCUUCCUUCUACUUUCUAGUUCGCUCUCUUCUUCCUUAACUGCUCGCACGGCUUUGGCUGCAGUGAACCCAGAGUCGCCUGGUUCUCUGAUGAAGGUUAGCCACAAGGUUUCCUCUAAGCCUUGCUGGAUUGGCGUUCCGUAGUGGGAUGAGGCUUCGUUGUCUGCUGUUCUGGCCAUCGCGCCUUCCGGCCAGGCUGCCCGCUGGGUCUCCAUGGAGUCUGCGGG
This 3311-nucleotide long non-coding RNA is filed under the name Mus musculus (house mouse). Its description in RNAcentral is "SIX homeobox 3, opposite strand 1, transcript variant 3 (Six3os1)". The record is from RNAcentral. Lineage: Eukaryota; Metazoa; Chordata; Mammalia; Rodentia; Muridae.